Molecule: long non-coding RNA, 1046 nt
Organism: Gasterosteus aculeatus aculeatus (three-spined stickleback)
Lineage: Eukaryota; Metazoa; Chordata; Actinopteri; Perciformes; Gasterosteidae
Source: Ensembl
CUUAUUUGCAAGGUGUCAAGAAACCACUUUUUUUUCUUCCCUUUUCUACUAGAGGAUGAAAAGAUUCUUCUGUAGCCAAAAGGGUCUGCUAUCAUUUUUGGGCAGCUUGAGCGGUAGAGAUGUUAUUAGCAUAAAUUAUCUCCCCCACCAAAGAGAUAGGAACAUGCUAGCUCCUUUCUGCUUUUCACACUUAAUUGCCCUAUUUACUGAACAGUUGCCCAUGGACAACAAAUGCACACACGCUCCGAGAUGCAUGCAGGACAACCGGCAGACACAAGCCAAAUAGGGCAUGAGUGAUGCUCUGAACUAUCUGCCAAACAGCAUUAGAUACAGUACGGCUCGGGAGGCCAUUCAGACUCCUGUUGGACUGGAAAUCCACAAUCACGGCGGUCUCCUGCCGCAGCAGCAGCAUGCAACUAAAAGAAAAAAAAAAAAAAAAAGCCUCAUUGAAGUGACCCAGUAAGCAAGAGUGAGAAAGCCGCCACGUCCGAGCUGCAGGGUCACCGUCGGCGGCAGCGAGGAUUUAAAGCGACCCGGGCCAGGGGGCACCCCUAAACGUCCGCCGCGAUCUACGGCACCUUUUCAGCCGGCCGCCGAUCAACAACAAGGACCAGAAGCGUUCAACCUGUUAUGAGAAGGAACCUUCUCACCUGAUCACGGCGCGGGGAUGUAAUGAGUCGCCACGCGGCGAAUCCACAAGUGGUCGUCGUGUCUUUGUUGUAAACACUGGAAGCAUGUUUUUAUGAAAUGAGUUAUAGUGAACGCCAAACUACUAGUUAUGCACAGAGAGGUAUUUUGAGUGAAAAUAAAUUGAAGUAAAAUGUUAACAAGGUUGAAACAAUUGAUUUGUAGAAAAUGAUUUUGAAAAUUGAUCCACUAAUUGGUGCACUGUGGUUACAGCUUGACCAACGUGAUGCUUUAUUGGAUUUCUGUCUAUUUAAUUUGAUGGCAAUUUUAAUAUAUCUGUUUGGGAUCCAUGUGACAAAGCCACUGAAAAACAACACAUGCGGCUAAAAAAUAGGAUAAAAAAAAUAAAAAGAUCUGCA